Molecule: ribosomal RNA, 329 nt
Filed under: Protoptila tenebrosa
Lineage: Eukaryota; Metazoa; Arthropoda; Insecta; Trichoptera; Glossosomatidae
Description: eukaryotic LSU rRNA
Rfam family: Eukaryotic large subunit ribosomal RNA
Source: RNAcentral
AACUAACGAGGAUUCCCUUAGUAGCGGCGAGCGAAACGGGACCUAGCCCAUCGUCGAAUCCUGCGGCCCCGGCGGGCCGCCGGGAAAUGUGACGUCAGGGAGGAGAGUUAAAAUUUAAACGCGCUGUCAUUAGUCACGUCCGCCCGUCCAAGUUCAUCUUGAACGGGGCCGCUUGCCCGCAGAGGGUGCCAGGCCCGUAGCGACGGUGGACGGCAGCGACGGUCUCUCUCCCGAGAGUCGGGUUGCUUGAGAGUGCAGCCCUAAGCGGGUGGUAAACUCCAUCUAAGGCUAAAUACGACCACGAGACCGAUAGCGAACAAGUACCGUAA